UAGAAUUGACGGGACCGCACAAGCGUGGAUGAUGUGUUAAUUCGAUGCAACGCGAAAACCUUACCACCUUUGACAUGGCAGGAAUCCUGAAGAGAUUUGGGAGUGCUCGAAAGAGAACCUGCACACAGGUGCUGCAUGGCUGUCGUCAGCUCGUGUCGUGAGAUGUUGGGUUAAGUCCCGCAACGAGCGCAACCCUUGCCAUUAGUUGCUACGAAAGGGCACUCUAAUGGGACUGCCGGUGACAAACCGGAGGAAGGUGGGGAUGACGUCAAGUCCUCAUGGCCCUUAUAGGUGGGGCUACACACGUCAUACAAUGGCCGGUACAGAGGGUAGCCAACCCGCGAGGGGAGCCAAUCCCAAAAAGCCGCUCUCAGUUCGGAUUGCAGGCUGCAACUCGCCUGCAUGAAGCCGGAAUCGCUAGUAAUCGCGGAUCAGCAUGCCGCGGUGAGUACGUUCCCGGGCCUU
RNAcentral lists this ribosomal RNA (465 nucleotides) under uncultured Allobrachymonas sp. RNAcentral's name for it is "bacterial SSU rRNA". It matches the Rfam family "Bacterial small subunit ribosomal RNA", at positions 907 to 1382 of the family's 1533-position model. The record is from RNAcentral. Lineage: Bacteria; Pseudomonadati; Pseudomonadota; Betaproteobacteria; Burkholderiales; Comamonadaceae.